GAUGAACGCUGGCGGCGUGCUUAACACAUGCAAGUCGAACGGUGAAGCAGAGCUUGCUCUGUGGAUCAGUGGCGAACGGGUGAGUAACACGUGAGCAACCUGCCCCUGACUCUGGGAUAAGCGCUGGAAACGGCGUCUAGUACUGGAUAUGAGCUGCGACCGCAUGGUCAGCAGUUGGAAAGAUUUUUCGGUCUGGGAUGGGCUCACGGCCUAUCAGCUUGUUGGUGAGGUAAUGGCUCACCAAGGCGUCGACGGGUAGCCGGCCUGAGAGGGUGACCGGCCACACUGGGACUGAGACACGGCCCAGACUCCUACGGGAGGCAGCAGUGGGGAAUAUUGCACAAUGGGCGAAAGCCUGAUGCAGCAACGCCGCGUGAGGGAUGACGGCCUUCGGGUUGUAAACCUCUUUUAGCAGGGAAGAAGCGAAAGCGACGGUACCUGCAGAAAAAGCGCCGGCUAACUACGUG
This 467-nucleotide ribosomal RNA is filed under the name uncultured bacterium. Its description in RNAcentral is "partial 16S ribosomal RNA". It matches the Rfam family "Bacterial small subunit ribosomal RNA", at positions 28 to 507 of the family's 1533-position model. The record is from RNAcentral.